Peromyscus leucopus (white-footed mouse) is the source of this 5630-nucleotide long non-coding RNA. RefSeq lists it as uncharacterized. NCBI's taxonomy places the organism in Eukaryota, Metazoa, Chordata, Mammalia, Rodentia, Cricetidae. The record is from RefSeq and is a predicted model, not a curated record. The transcript has 3 exons.
UAUCACUUAAGGAUUUUUGAAAGUGUAUUUCACCUUGAAAGGACCUGCUUGAAGCCUACACAGCAGCGAAAUCACUGGAGUCCAGGGUUUUUGUCACACACACACACACACACACACACACACACACACAGCACAGAUUUUUUUGAUUAUGUAGAUUUCUUUUCCUACUGCAGUUUCAUAUGCAAAGCAUGCAUCAGCCACAUCCAUGCUAUCUCCUAAAGCAGUCAUUCUGAAACCCAAUCUGGGGACAGUGCAGACUAAAUAAAAUUUCAUUUUGAUUUGGCCUCCCGCUGCGAAUGGGACUGCUUUGUCUCAGCCGACAGAACCAGCAAGCCAGAAAGGAGACUCAGAGACAGUUAUGGAGCAGGAGGUUGAAGGGAAAGACCUGUGGAGACACCCAGUGCAGAGGAGAAUGCGGCAGAACAAGCUGAGACAGGGGGGACACAUCUCAACUCAGUCUCAGCUAACCCACCAGCUCAGGAGCUGGAAUAGUCCUUCCUUCAAAGUGGCACUAAAUUGAUGAAGGCAAGUCAGAACUCCCUCCACCAUCCAGGAGCUGGUGUGGGAUGCCCUUGGAAAAGGUCUGGCUGGAGAUGCAUGCUCUGAGCCAUUCACUGAGGCUGAAUUAAAAUGCCUGAGUAUCAAUGCCUUGCUUGAGACGUGAGAGAUCACAGACAGUACAAGCACUUAGUAUAUGGACCAGCAGGAGGUGAGCAGAUCUGGAGCCAGGCAAGAAGGAAGGAUGAAGAAGAAGAAGAGAGUUCAGCUAAGGAUGCAACCCUGCCAGAAAGUGUCAACUUGGUCAAGCAUGGGACUCCAGAGGGUUCCGCGGAGAGUGUGCUGGCUUUUCUUAAGGUUCCUGAGCACGCCCACAGCCCUAGAUGGGCAAUUCUGAAGUGGAUGGCCCUGAGGACCACAAACGCAUCAGAAACACAGAACAAAGAGAGGAGCACUGAGCACUGGCAGCCUUGUAGGGAAGAAAAGGGGGGAACACAGCACCAGGGAUAUGGACAGUGGGUGGUACAGGGGACAAGAGCUAGCCAUGGAAGACUUACACAGUUUGGUGCUCCAUAGCCCAUGCCUCGGCUCACUGGAGAAUCGGAUAACACACCACAAUGACUGGAAACCUUGUCUCAGGAGCCGUGGGACAGGAAAUACGGAGACACUGGAGGUUAAUGGGUCUGUGUGCACUUUUAGGCACAACUCAAGAUACGUGGGUCACCAAGAUAGACACUUUCUUUUAAAUGUUUGACUUUAGAAGGCUAUGAAGCAGGUAUGGGGUCCCCAAGGUUUUCCUGUAUUUUAGCACUCACCUACCCUAAUACUAGCAAAGGUGUGUUACCUCCUCUUCUGGCCCCUCCUCCUCCACCUCUUCCUUCUCCUUUCCCCUUCUUUCUCUCCCUUCCUUCCCCCCUCUGUCUGUCUGUCUCAAAUAUAUACAUGAAAAUUGUCUUUGACCUUUUCUUAUGGCUGCUAGUUCUUACCAAGAAUUCAUAGGAUGUCAUCUCGUUUUCUAUCUCCUCUCCCUGGAUUUACGUUUUCUUUUUACAAAUCUUUAUGUUAAAUUAAAGGUUGGUGCAAUGGAAUCCAGCAAGAGAGACCAUACCUUCCAUGGGGGUCUUUCCUUUCUCUCCUAGAAGGAACCCUUCUCUCUAAUUCAGGCUAUGGAGGGGCAGAGAAAUUUGGUAAGGUAUUGGCAAUAGUAUAAGAAGGCUCCAUAGGUACCAACACAUAGACAUGUGCAUGCAGGCAGGCACAGAAGUCUAGGUCUACAGCCUCAGUUAAGCCAUGCGUAUUUCCUUGAGCAUCAACAUUUUAGAUCAACCCUUUCAAAGAAUCUCCAAGUCAAUUUUAUCACUUUUUUAAAAUAGUUGAUGUGACUCACCAACCUGUGAGCCAUACCGACAUUUGGCUACUUUUCCUGGAGCCCAUAUCAUUCCAUUCCCAGAGCUGCAGUGGAGAAAGAAGGAUUGUAUAGGACAGGUCUAAAAUGUGACCUGCAUUUAUAAUCAUCAUAGAUAUAUACUUGUAUAAUAUAGCCCUUUGGGGAAGAUACAGUGAAAUCCUAAAGUGGGAUUUCAAAACAUACUUCAGACUAGCAUACAGCAUUUGCCCUCUAACAGUCUUGCUGUCUGGAGUUCCCUGACUGAGGACAGGGGCAGGCCUAUGUCAGUGUAUGUAGGCAGAACUCAAGCAGCUGGCAUUGUGGUAGAAUUAAAGAUACCCCUGCACAAGCAAUGUAAUCAGCACAUUUUUUUCAGUUCUCUAAAUGUUUAGCAUCAGGUGCAAAACUAUAAUUAGUAGACAAGGCAAACUUUCUUUGCCCGGCAUGAACCUUUCUACAGGGAGCCUGUUAACCUGGGGUCUUGGAGUGAACAGCAGGAGUCAAGGUCAAAUAAGCUUGUUGGUUCCAAACCUGAGGACGUUCGUCAUCAGCCACUGGUCAAUAGUAUCUCCAAGCUAAACUAACACUUACUAAGAAAAAUUAGACAAAAAUAAUAAUAGAUUUACAAACUGUUCUCUGCUGCCACACAUUAAUCUUCUGGCCAAAAUAUUCCAACCAGGAAUUUAGAAAAACCUAUCCUAAAAUAUAUUCUGGAGGGAAAAAAACAAACAAAACAAAACACAGUGCCCUUCUAUGAAGCAACACUUAUUCUAGUACAAAAGAAAGCUGAGACUGGGCCAGCUAGGUUUGGGCAUGCUGGGUUCAUCGCAGUUGAACAGGUUUCCUUUCCCAUCAACUUCUCAGAGCCUUCAAUAUUUGCACAUAUGCAGUGAGUGUCUAAACGGGGCCAUGUGCACUCAAACUAUGUGUGCCUCAUAAACAUGGGGCUUUUUUAACCCAGUUGCCUGUGUUGAACACAGGAAGACUUAUCAAAAUGGGUGAAAAUCCUGCCUACUGCAAAGUUGUACUGAUAUUCAAAGCAGGAUGCAGGAGUGGAGAGAUACAAUAUUUCAAAAAACAAGGGACCCCACACACCAUCACUUCAUCUUUGCUUUUCCAACAGAUUUAAACCAAAAGUGGGGGGGGGGGAAUAAGCAAAACUCCCCAAGGCUAUCCAUGCUAAAAGGCAUUGUGUUCUGAGGAUGAGGAAGGAAAGGUGAAGGUCUGUACUGCACCAGAGGUCACUGGAGGGGAAGAGCAGCACACGGGAAUAAAUUCGGUGCUCAUGGACACAUGACCGGGUGGCAAAUUCUUCAAAUGUUCGGUUUAAACCACCACAGGGUUUGGUCUUUCCUUCUGAAAGCCGGGCCUUAUCGUUCCACAAUGAGGUGGCCUCACUUUUUGAAUCAGUAUUUAAUUCAUUUGAGCUAACCCUGAAAGCAGCGAGUACUGUCAGAGUUGGCCGAGGGGGCUUAAAAUUUAUGUUUUAAUUACUUGGCCAGUUCAUCAGAACGUAGACACGGUGUCUGUGGUGAGGGCUUUGAAAAGAUUGCUGAAGAGGAAAGGCUCCCGGCACAUAGAGCCCAUUCAUGGCAUGUUUAUGGGCUCUACCUGUAAAGGAAAGGCUCUGAGAAGGUGCAGUGGCAGGGAAAUUGAUGCAGAUUUCUUGUUCAUCAGAUUCUGCCCGAGCACAUUUGAUUCUGCAAAAUGGAAAGCUGGAAAUGGCCUUGUGAAUUUGAAGGGGAAUAUUGCUACUAUGCAGAAAAAUAAAAAAUAAAGUCUGAAUUGGUAUAAAAAUAGCACACUGACAAGAAAGUUUCUAGAGGAAAUUUAGUAAGAGUCCCCCCCACCCCCCACCCCCGCUUUCUUUUUUUUUUUUUUCUGUGAACUGUGUAAUCUCAAGUGCAAAGGAUCAAACUCACAAAGGCACUGCCUGUUGGAAGAGAAACCCCAAGCUAUUGCUAAUGACACACGGCGGAGCUCCUACGGGCCCUAGAGUAAGGACUCGGUGAAAUCAAUGAGAUUGAUUGUACUCAACCAAAACCUUGACUUUGUAUAGUGAAGUUGAGAAAUUCAAGUUAAGCAUGGCUUUGGUUCCCCUCCAUAAAAAUCCUAGAGCUGGUCAAUACACAGGCAACAUGGCUCAGCCUAAAGUGAUCACAUGCCCAGCCUCCAGCUCUGCUCUCCUGGGACAGAUGGUCCAGGAGAGUAGAAGGUCAUUAACGGCCUCAUCCCCAUUAUUGUAGGCCCAAAGACCAUCCUGAUGCACUCUGCUCUAGGAGGCCUAGAAAACCCACAUCUUUCAUAGUAAUGACUUCCAGUUUACAGCCUUCAUUUGUUAUAUUUCCUCAAUAGCUGUUGUGUUGAGAUUAACUGCAUAAAUGGUCUGCAGCUGUCUGUUAUGAAUUAAGGGAGUUUAAUCAAAGUAUUUCUAAUGUACAGCAUAAUGAUAAUACAUGGGGGAAGUACUAUUUAAGAGAUAAUGAUGGCUUCAGAAGAUCACUGUUGUAAUGUUUAGUGCAUAUGCCUUCAGCAUUGAAUUUGUUGUUGUUCUGAAUAUGCUUAAUGGAUCACUGAAAAGCUGCCUAAUGCGGGAUUGUUUGAUGGGGCUGACAGAGCUGGAAUUAGCCCAUUGCUGUUUACUGCAUACAGCCAUUAAGAUUAAUUGCUGCCAGAUAAUUUUGACUGUUUUUAUCUUCUGGAAAAAGUGUCACUAAUGGGUUUAUAAAUUGGUUCACUAUUACUAAUAGUAAGGCCAGUGUAACAGGAUAGAAUGUCAGCUAAUUCCAAAGAUAAAGGUAAAAAGUAUAAAGUACUGUAUGGCUUGCUGGUUUUAAGGGAUACUGUUAUCUAAUAACAGACAGACUGAUAUAUGAUGCUCAUUAAUGCUACUUCCUGAGAUUCGGGUUGAACCUAAUAGAUGCUAAUAAACUCUUAUUUGAUGUCCCAUUAAAAAGCUCAAUCUGCUUUCUGCAUUAAUGCCCAGUGUUGUUUAUCACAACUUUGAUGACUGAACCCCAAAUUCUAAUCUGUUUUGUAACCAAGUGCUGUCUGAGCACCUGGGCCUUAGUGCUGGUAGAUAUAAAACUCAUAGGACCAAGCCAGAGAAUUAAGAAAGUGCAUGAAUUUAUAAGCAUGGUAUAUGAUUUGAAGUUCUUCUUGCAUGUUCCUAAUUCAGGUAUUUUUGUGUAGUGCAAACUUCUAGAAACACUAUAUGGAUAUCCUACUCAUUGUUUAGAGACCAUUCACAAUUAAAUAAAAUUUCCAACAUAUAGGUAUUUUAACUUAGUGACUAGAAAAACACUUCUCAUACUUAACUCUUACCACAUUAUAGGAUUAGAAAAUUCUGUGCAUACUUUUCUAAGAAAGUAAAAUGAAUGUAGGCAUUUUCCAGUGAUAUGAUUCUUGCAAAUUACUUGUGGAUGACCCUAUAGAUGCCAGGGGAUCCUUCCAACCUAGCUUCAUGCAUUUGAGUUGAGUAACUUUACAUAAACUUUAACUAAAACUCAACAGGUCUGUAAUUUUGCCAGUUCACCACAACUGACAAUGAAAGUCCUUGAGUGUUCAAUUUCAAGUAUAUUCUUUACAUCACAGAGAGCUGGGAGUAACUUGAAAAGAAUACAAACAGACAGAUAAACAACAAACACUUAAGACGAGUCAGAACAGGUAAUUCCAGAACUGUGAAGGUGUUCUUUCCUCAGUAAUGGAUCCUGUGAAGUGAUUAAGCAUUGUUCUUCAAAAUCAA